This 405-nucleotide RNase P RNA is filed under the name Amaricoccus macauensis. Its description in RNAcentral is "Bacterial RNase P class A". It matches the Rfam family "Bacterial RNase P class A". From Rfam's summary of the family: Ribonuclease P (RNase P) is a ubiquitous endoribonuclease, found in archaea, bacteria and eukarya as well as chloroplasts and mitochondria. The record is from Rfam by way of RNAcentral. Lineage: Bacteria; Pseudomonadati; Pseudomonadota; Alphaproteobacteria; Rhodobacterales; Paracoccaceae.
GCGGACGGCCGGACGACCGCGGCAUGCGAGUGUCGAGGAAAGUCCGGGCUCCAGGGAGAAAUGGCGGCGGGUAACGCCCGCCCGGGGUAACCCGAGGGAAAGCGCCACAGAGAGGAGACCGCCGUCCCGGCGGCUCACGGACCGCGAGGUCCAUGGGAUGGCAUGGGACGGCAAGGGUGAAAGGGUGGGGUAAGAGCCCACCGCGCUGGCGGCAACGUCGGCGGCAUGGCAAGCCCCGCCAGGAGCAAGGCCAAAUAGGGAUCGCGCGGGGCUUGUCCCCAGGGCUUCUCCCGCCCGAGCGAUCCGGGUUGGCUGCUGGAAUCCGUCGGCAACGGCGGAUCGAGAGGAAUGGUCGUCGGCGGUUUUUUGCCGCCACAGGACCCGGCUUACAGGCCGUCCGCACCC